Molecule: long non-coding RNA, 206 nt
Filed under: Carica papaya (papaya)
Lineage: Eukaryota; Viridiplantae; Streptophyta; Magnoliopsida; Brassicales; Caricaceae
Description: long non-coding RNA (CPAP_LNC000388)
Source: RNAcentral
UGAACGUUGUCUCAUAUCGAAUGGGGUAUCAAGGAAUAGUAUUUUUGGUGCUCAUACCGGAUGGGGUAUGGGAACGACCUGAUUCACUCUCAUACCGGAGUAGGUAUUGAAGGAUGGUAUUUUUUGUGCUCAUACUAGACAGAGUAUGGGGACGGCUGGUUUGUUAACAAUGUUGGAUAUGGGUUCACGCGUAGUGAGAUAUCGCG